GCCGCAGUCGCAUAGCCUGGUAUUGCGCGAGACUGGAAAUCUCGUCCCUCUGGGAUCCCCGGUUCGAAUCCGGGCUGCGGCG
This 82-nucleotide transfer RNA is filed under the name Nitrosarchaeum sp. Its description in RNAcentral is "tRNA-Ser". It matches the Rfam family "tRNA". Rfam says of the family: Transfer RNA (tRNA) molecules are approximately 80 nucleotides in length. Lineage: Archaea; Thermoproteati; Nitrososphaerota; Nitrososphaeria; Nitrosopumilales; Nitrosopumilaceae. The record is from RNAcentral.